AUGCGGCAGCUAUACAUGCAAGUCGAGCGAAUGGAUUGAGAGCUUGCUCUUAUGAAGUUAGCGGCGGACGGGUGAGUAACACGUGGGUAACCUGCCCAUAAGACUGGGAUAACUCCGGGAAACCGGGGCUAAUACCGGAUAACAUUUUGAACUGCAUGGUUCGAAAUUGAAAGGCGGCUUCGGCUGUCACUUAUGGAUGGACCCGCGUCGCAUUAGCUAGUUGGUGAGGUAACGGCUCACCAAGGCAACGAUGCGUAGCCGACCUGAGAGGGUGAUCGGCCACACUGGGACUGAGACACGGCCCAGACUCCUACGGGAGGCAGCAGUAGGGAAUCUUCCGCAAUGGACGAAAGUCUGACGGAGCAACGCCGCGUGAGUGAUGAAGGCUUUCGGGUCGUAAAACUCUGUUGUUAGGGAAGAACAAGUGCUAGUUGAAUAAGCUGGCACCUUGACGGUACCUAACCAGAAAGCCACGGCUAACUACGUGCCAGCAGCCGCGGUAAUACGUAGGUGGCAAGCGUUAUCCGGAAUUAUUGGGCGUAAAGCGCGCGCAGGUGGUUUCUUAAGUCUGAUGUGAAAGCCCACGGCUCAACCGUGGAG
This 600-nucleotide ribosomal RNA is filed under the name Bacillus anthracis (anthrax bacterium). RNAcentral describes it as "bacterial SSU rRNA". It matches the Rfam family "Bacterial small subunit ribosomal RNA", at positions 37 to 620 of the family's 1533-position model. Lineage: Bacteria; Bacillati; Bacillota; Bacilli; Caryophanales; Bacillaceae. The record is from RNAcentral.